GUCUAUGGCCAUGCCACCCUGAACAAGCCUGAUAUCUGAUCUCAAAAGCUAAUCAGGGUCGGGCCUGGUUAGUACUUGGAUGGGAGACCACCUAGGAAGACCAUGUGCUGUAGGUA
RNAcentral lists this ribosomal RNA (116 nucleotides) under Pteropus alecto (black flying fox). The record is from RNAcentral. Lineage: Eukaryota; Metazoa; Chordata; Mammalia; Chiroptera; Pteropodidae.